GCGUGGGAUCGAAUGGAAUGAUUAGCUUGUGGUGCUAGCGGGAGCAAUCUCGUGGGGGUUCAAGUCCCCCUCUCCGCACCA
Molecule: transfer RNA, 81 nt
Filed under: Terriglobia bacterium
Lineage: Bacteria; Pseudomonadati; Acidobacteriota; Terriglobia
Description: tRNA-OTHER
Source: RNAcentral